AAACAAAUUAUGCUUACACAAAUCAAACAAAAGCGAUGACUAAUAUAGACUAUCAUUAACAUGCCGUUAGAAACAAGAAUCAAAUAGCAACUUAGUCCAGACAGGAACAUUUGGAGACAUGUUUAGAUCGCUUGAAGAAGCGGCGGUUAUAGGAUGGUGGCGGAGAGAGAGCCGCCGUUGUUGUAGGAGAGGGAUCAACGGAGAGAGGGGAAAUACGGCGGAGCUUUGCAUCGUUUAGAUCUGAAAUCAAAAGUUGUUGGUGAGAGUGGAGAACGAGGAAGAAGGCGUUUUUAGAAUAAAGAUCCGGAGUCGAGAAACUGUAAUUUAAGAUUUUUUAUUGGAUUUA
This 346-nucleotide small RNA is filed under the name Arabidopsis thaliana (thale cress). RNAcentral describes it as "ATSL043280". The record is from RNAcentral. Lineage: Eukaryota; Viridiplantae; Streptophyta; Magnoliopsida; Brassicales; Brassicaceae.